UACAGAGGUCUCAAGCGUUGUUCGGAUUCAUUGGGCGUAAAGGGUGCGUAGGUGGCGGGGUAAGUCUGGUGUGAAAUCUCGGGGCUCAACCCCGAAACUGCACUGGAUACUGCCUUGCUCGAGUACUGGAGAGGAGAGUGGAAUUUACGGUGUAGCAGUGAAAUGCGUAGAUAUCGUAAGGAAGACCAGUGGCGAAGGCGAAUCUCUGGACAGUUACUGACACUGAGGCACGAAGGCCAGGGGAGCAAACGGG
This 253-nucleotide ribosomal RNA is filed under the name uncultured bacterium. RNAcentral's name for it is "partial 16S ribosomal RNA". It matches the Rfam family "Bacterial small subunit ribosomal RNA", at positions 524 to 776 of the family's 1533-position model. The record is from RNAcentral.